RNAcentral lists this long non-coding RNA (288 nucleotides) under Elaeis guineensis (African oil palm). RNAcentral's name for it is "long non-coding RNA (EGUI_LNC061711)". Lineage: Eukaryota; Viridiplantae; Streptophyta; Magnoliopsida; Arecales; Arecaceae. The record is from RNAcentral.
CACUUAAUCCAAAAUACCGACAGAGCUUCCACUAGGCACCCAAGUGUUUGCCCUCCAACGGUGAUCCACACAGGGCCUUGGUCAAGACUCUUGCUCCUUAACUUGGUGCCUCCCACUAAAUUCUUUCUCCAAGAAUUCUUUGGGCAGCACAACUUCUAGGCCUUUCCUUCCUCUCCUCCUAGUCUUCUUAUCUCUACCUUUCUUUCCUCCUUGCCUUUCCUAAUUCUCUUCCUAGGCCCUUGCUCUAAAAUCAGAUUUAUCCUUACUAUUUUAGGACUUUUCCUAACA